Zonotrichia leucophrys gambelii is the source of this 646-nucleotide long non-coding RNA. RefSeq lists it as uncharacterized. The transcript has 3 exons. NCBI's taxonomy places the organism in Eukaryota, Metazoa, Chordata, Aves, Passeriformes, Passerellidae. The record is from RefSeq and is a predicted model, not a curated record.
UUAAUAAUAUUAUGAGUCGGUUUUAGCGUUACAGUCAGAAAGAUAUUCUCACUCUUGCACUGGUGCUGUGUCCCCUUAGCUUUAGUUGUUGAGCAUUCUUAGGGAAAAGGUUUAAUAAAGCUGAAAUUCUGAUAAAGGGACAAAAUUACUGUUGUAUCUAACAACAUAAACCAACACCAUGUUGGUCAAAAACUUUCUUUUUUCUCUUGCAACAGAGAGACAACAAAUGGCCCAGCUGAUACUUGCUGCUGAAUUUCUUCAGGUUAAACUCAGCUACCAGAUGGUGCUGGAAUCAAGAUCAAAAUGAAAAAAGCACAUUUGCAAGGGGCACUCCAUUGCAACCCUGGCAGUGCUGAGGGUUAUGAAGAUCCCUGUGUUGGCACAAGGUGACCUCCCAAACAGGCCACGUGCUGCUGUGCAGCCUUGCAGAUCUCCACGUGAACUCCAAGGACACUCAGGAUCCUCCUGCUUGAAGAAUGAUGUUACUGCUAGACUGCAAGCAUCUCAAGACAAAGACACACCAAAUUCUACCAUAACCUUAAUGUAAUUACCCCUUCAUGAAAUUCUAAAAGAAUUAGAAGAAUUCAUCACUAAAUUUGUACAGAAAGCUAUUAUUAAUUUGAGGUCAACAAACCAAGACUGGUUC